Molecule: ribosomal RNA, 490 nt
Filed under: uncultured bacterium
Lineage: Bacteria
Description: partial 16S ribosomal RNA
Rfam family: Bacterial small subunit ribosomal RNA
Source: RNAcentral
AUUGAACGCUGGCGGCAGGCCUAACACAUGCAAGUCGAACGGUAACAGGAAGCAUCUUGCUGCUUUUCUGACGAGUGGCGGACGGGUGAGUAAUGUCUGGGAAACUGCCUGAUGGAGGGGGAUAACUACUGGAAACGGUAGCUAAUACCGCAUAACUUCGCAAGACCAAAGAGGGUUACCUUCGGGCCGCUUGCCAUCGGAUGUUCCCAGCUGGUAUUGGCUAGUAGGUGGGGUAACGGCUCACCUAGGCGGCGAUCCCUAGCUGGUCUGAGGGGAUGACAGGCCACCCUGGAAGGGAGACACGGUCCAUACUCCUGCGAGAGGCAGCAGAGGGGAAUAUGGCACAGUGGGCGCAAGCCUGGUGCAGCGAUGCCGCGUGUAUGAAGAAGACCUUCGGGUUGUAAAGUACUUUCAGCGGGGAGGAAGGGAGUAAAGUUGAUACCUAUGCUCAUUGACGUUACCCGCAGAAGAAGCACCGGCUAACUCCGUG